Molecule: ribosomal RNA, 438 nt
Filed under: uncultured bacterium
Lineage: Bacteria
Description: bacterial SSU rRNA
Rfam family: Bacterial small subunit ribosomal RNA
Source: RNAcentral
AACGCGAAGAACCUUACCAACCCUUGACAUGUCUGUCGCGAGUUUAGGAAACUAGACUUUUCGGUUCGGCCGGACAGAACACAGGUGCUGCAUGGCUGUCGUCAGCUCGUGUCGUGAGAUGUUGGGUUAAGUCUCGCAACGAGCGCAACCCCUACUUUUAGUUGCCAUCAGGUCAUGCUGGGCACUCUGAAAGAACUGCCAGUGAUAAGCUGGAGGAGGGUGGGGAUGACGUCAAGUCCUCAUGGCCCUUACGGGUUGGGCUACACACGUGCUACAAUGGUAGUGACAAUGAGAUGCAAGGUGGCGACGCUAAGCUAAACUCAAAAAUCUACCUCAGUUCGGAUUGCACUCUGCAACUCGAGUGCAUGAAGCUGGAAUCGCUAGUAAUCGUAGAUCAGCGUGCUACGGUGAAUACGUUCCCGGGUCUUGUACACACCG